RNAcentral lists this long non-coding RNA (309 nucleotides) under Vulpes vulpes (red fox). RNAcentral's name for it is "lncRNA (ENSVVUG00000016348.1)". Lineage: Eukaryota; Metazoa; Chordata; Mammalia; Carnivora; Canidae. The record is from RNAcentral.
AGCCCAUCUAUCACACAUGAAAAGGAUGAAUACUGAAGACCAGAUGUUGAACAGGCCAGAUAUCAAAAAAUGGCCAGUGCAUCUCUUCGGUUUUAAUACCUGGAAGACGCAAGCAGUUUGUCAUUUGGUCCUGUGUGAAAGCUAGAGCCUUCUCCUUUGUAAUGCCAUCUGAUCUACAGGGACGGAGCCAUCUCCUCAUCCGUCAGGACCUCACUAACCCACUACAUUGGCAAACCAUGUGCAUGGAUCCCUGAAAUAAGCAGUAAGUACCUUCUACAUUUUAGUAAGGCCAAUAUGGUAAGUUUUAAC